This 533-nucleotide long non-coding RNA is filed under the name Homo sapiens (human). RNAcentral's name for it is "non-protein coding lnc-CCNL1-9:1". Lineage: Eukaryota; Metazoa; Chordata; Mammalia; Primates; Hominidae. The record is from RNAcentral.
ACAGAAGAGGGAGGAUGCUGUUUCCAAAGAAGUGACUCGAAAACUUUCUGAAGCUGAUAAUAGAAAGAUGUCUCGGAAGGAGAAAGAUGAAAGGUUUGACUCCUGUUUAAAGUAUGGCCAUCAUAAAAGGGGGUACUUUGAAGAGAAUUUUUUGAUUUUUGCUUAAAGAAUUUGGAUUUUGGAAUUGUCUGAGAAUCUUGUGGAAGAAGAAUGAAGUUGCUGAUUAUGAAGCUACAACAUUUUCCAUCUUCUAUAACAACACUCUGUUCCUGGUCGUGGUCAUUGUUGCUUCCUUCUUCAUAUUGAAGAACUUCAACCCCACAGUGAACUACAUAUUGUCCAUAAGUGCUUCAUCAGGACUCAUCGCCCUCCUGUCUACUGGCUCCAAAUAGACCAUGUCAGCUUCACCCCCUGGCUUUGUGUCUAUGGGUGGCCUGUGGUAUAUGGAAAAGUAGCAGGGUGGUCAGGGUGGGAGACACAAGAUGUUUUUAUAGUCUAGAGCCUUUAAAAAACCCAGCAGAAUGUAAUUCAGU